UGCAGGCGCACUCUGAGUCACAUUGAAUUAUCUCAUGUGAUGACUAUUUGUUAACCUUGCUAUAGAAAAUGAGAGCUGCGAUUUAUCCAUGUGAUCCUGUACUUUGAAUGGAUUGCAUUGAAAACGCGGCUUACACUCG
This is a small nucleolar RNA of Drosophila navojoa, 139 nucleotides long. RefSeq annotates it as small nucleolar RNA psi18S-841/snoR66. The record is from RefSeq and is a predicted model, not a curated record. NCBI's taxonomy places the organism in Eukaryota, Metazoa, Arthropoda, Insecta, Diptera, Drosophilidae.